RNAcentral lists this ribosomal RNA (253 nucleotides) under uncultured bacterium. RNAcentral's name for it is "partial 16S ribosomal RNA". It matches the Rfam family "Bacterial small subunit ribosomal RNA", at positions 524 to 776 of the family's 1533-position model. The record is from RNAcentral.
UACAGAGGUCCCAAGCGUUGUUCGGAUUCACUGGGCGUAAAGGGUGCGUAGGUGGUUGGGUAAGUCUGAUGUGAAAUCUCCGGGCUCAACCCGGAAAUGGCAUUGGAUACUAUUCGGCUAGAGGUUUGGAGGGGGGACUGGAAUUCUCGGUGUAGCAGUGAAAUGCGUAGAUAUCGAGAGGAGCACCAGUGGCGAAGGCGAGUCCCUGGACAACACCUGACACUGAGGCACGAAAGCUAGGGGAGCAAACAGG